GACGAACGCUGGCGGCGUGCUUAACACAUGCAAGUCGAACGGGAUUUAGUAGACAGAAGCCUCGGCUAAAGAUUACUAAUGAGAGUGGCGAACGGGUGAGUAACGCGUGAGCAACCUGCCUAUGACAGUGGGAUAGCCUCGGGAAACCGGGAUUAAUACCGCAUAAAAUCGUAGAAACACAUGUUUUAACGGUCAAAGAUUUAUCGGUCAUAGAUGGGCUCGCGUCUGAUUAGCUAGUUGGGGAGAUAACAGCCCACCAAGGCGACGAUCAGUAGCCGGUCUGAGAGGAUGAACGGCCACAUUGGAACUGAGACACGGUCCAAACUCCUACGGGAGGCAGCAGUGGGGAAUAUUGCACAAUGGGGGAAACCCUGAUGCAGCGACGCCGCGUGAACGAAGAAGGUAUUCGUAUCGUAAAGUUCUGUCCUAUGGGAAGAUAAUGACAGUACCAUAGAAGAAAGCUCCGGCUAAAUACGUG
RNAcentral lists this ribosomal RNA (478 nucleotides) under uncultured bacterium. RNAcentral's name for it is "partial 16S ribosomal RNA". It matches the Rfam family "Bacterial small subunit ribosomal RNA", at positions 28 to 507 of the family's 1533-position model. The record is from RNAcentral.